AGUGAACGCUGGCGGUAGGCCUAACACAUGCAAGUCGAACGGCAGCACAGUAAGAGCUUGCUCUUACGGGUGGCGAGUGGCGGACGGGUUAGGAAUACAUCUGAAUCUACUUUUUCGUGGGGGAUAACUUAGGGAAACUUACGCUAAUACCGCAUACGACCUACGGGUGAAAGCAGGGGAUCUUCGGACCUUGCGCGAUUGAAUGAGCCGAUGUCGGAUUAGCUAGUUGGCGGGGUAAAGGCCCACCAAGGCGACGAUCCGUAGCUGGUCUGAGAGGAUGAUCAGCCAAACUGGAACUAAGACACAGUAAAGACUCCUAAGGGAAGCAGCAGUGGGGAAUAUUGGACAAAGGGAGCGAGCCAGAAGCAGCCAGACCGCGUGGGUGAAGAAGGUAUUCGGGUUGUAAAGCCCUUUUGUUGGAAAAGAAAAGCAGCAGGUGAAGACGCCACUGUUCUGACGGUACCCAAAGAAUAAGCACAGGCUAACUUCGUG
RNAcentral lists this ribosomal RNA (492 nucleotides) under uncultured bacterium. RNAcentral describes it as "partial 16S ribosomal RNA". It matches the Rfam family "Bacterial small subunit ribosomal RNA", at positions 29 to 507 of the family's 1533-position model. The record is from RNAcentral.